UUCAAAUUCACUUAUUCUAGUAGUUUGUAGAUUCCUUUGAAUUUUUUAUGUCUGUAAUCAUAGAAGCAUUCUAUGCUUCUGCAGAUAAAGCAUUUUUCAGUGUUAAAAGUUUUUUUGACUUCUUUUUCUGGAGUUUCCAUCUUCUCAUUUUGUCUUCUCCUGUUGGUAUCAAGUGCUAAGAAUAGCACCACUUGGAAAUAUGACAGGACUGCAGCCAGUGUGGAUAAUUAUCAUUUUCAACUACAGAUCUCUCUCAGCCUUGUCUGCUUAUCACACUGGCUUGAUCGCGCCCAUGAAGAUCCGCACAGAGGCCCCUGGGAACCUUCGUUUAUACAGUGGGAGCCCCACUCGCAGCGAGAAAGAGCAGGUCUCCAUCAGCUCCUUCUACUACAAGGAGCGGAAAUCAAGACGAUGGAAAAGUAAGCGUGAGGGAUCAGACUCUGGCAAUCGACAGAUCAAGGCUGCUGGGAAAGUCAUCAUCCAGGAUAUUGCUUGCCUCCUGCCUGUUCACAAAUCGCUGGGAGAGCUGUACAUAUUGAAUGUGAAUGAUAUUCAGGAAACAUGUCAGAAGAAUGCCGCCUCUGCCUUGCUCGUUGGAAGAAAGGAUCUCGUCCAGGUUUGGUCGCUGGCUACGGUAGCUACAGAUCUUUGCCUUGGUCCGAAAUCUGACCCAGAUUUGGAAACACCCUGGGCUCGACAUCCAUUUGGGCGGCAGCUGCUGGAGUCCCUGUUGGCUCACUAUUGCCGGCUCCGGGAUGUUCAGACACUGGCGAUGCUCUGUAGCGUGUUUGAAGCCCAGUCUCGG
Molecule: small RNA, 805 nt
Filed under: Pan troglodytes (chimpanzee)
Lineage: Eukaryota; Metazoa; Chordata; Mammalia; Primates; Hominidae
Description: retained intron
Source: RNAcentral